GGCUUAUUGAUAAUAAUUUUAGGUCUGACCUGCCCACUGAUAUAUUAAAUGGCCGCGGUAUAUUGACCGUGCAAAGGUAGCAUAAUCAUUAGUUUUUUAAUUGAAAGCUGGAAUGAAAGGUUUGAUGAGAAAAAUUCUGUCUCUAUAAAAAUUGGUUAGAAUUUUAUUUUUAAGUGAAAAAGCUUAAAUGUAUAUAGAAGACGAGAAGACCCUAUAGAGUUUUAUAAGUAUGUUAAAAUAUAUGUUUGUAGGAUAAAAAGUUAAAAUUUUAAUAUAUUUAUUUGGUUGGGGUGAUGAAAAAAUUAAUUUAACUUUUUUUUUAUUUUUACACUAAUUUGUGAAUUAUUGAUCCUUAGUUUUAGAUUAAAAGAAGAAAUUACCUUAGGGAUAACAGCGUAAUUUUUUUUAGAGUUCUUAUCAAAAAAAGGGAUUGCGACCUCGAUGUUGGAUUAAAAUUAACUGUUGGUGUAGAAGCUAGUAUGUUAGGUCUGUUCGACCUUUAAAAUUUUACAUGAUCUGAGUUUAAACCGGUGUGAG
This 537-nucleotide ribosomal RNA is filed under the name Trigonopterus sp. 939 AR-2022a. RNAcentral describes it as "partial large subunit ribosomal RNA". It matches the Rfam family "Bacterial large subunit ribosomal RNA", at positions 1819 to 2625 of the family's 2925-position model. The record is from RNAcentral. Lineage: Eukaryota; Metazoa; Arthropoda; Insecta; Coleoptera; Curculionidae.